Molecule: long non-coding RNA, 5455 nt
Filed under: Drosophila guanche
Lineage: Eukaryota; Metazoa; Arthropoda; Insecta; Diptera; Drosophilidae
Source: RNAcentral
CCAGUAUCUCUGCACUGCCGUGCAGUGCUAUUGUGUCCCACAUUCAACAACUCAACUUUUUAAGUAAAAUAUGGCAUUGCAUUACAUAUUCCCAUCAUUUUUUGUUUGAUUCCAUUUAAAAAUAAAUUAAAAAUUCGAUUUUACCCUGAAGUAAACGUACGGUGGCACGCCUAAUUUUUCAGCAAACCUUCCUUUCACUAUUAUAGAUUCAUAUCAAAAAACUAAAUAACAAAAUAUUUUUUUCGUUUGGAAGUUAUUAAUUAAUGUGGGCUGGGUUUUGCCAAUUGCGAUCCCUAGACAAAACACCAAAACGAGCAAGGGCGAAUUCGCGUCACUGCGAAUUCCAAACAAGAGAGCAAACGCAAAGAGAAGACGAAGGAGAGCGAGAUGAGAGCGAGAGCGGACAACCGAUCGGCGAGAGAGCGCCGAGGGGGAGUUUCUAUCCAACCUCCGACGUAAAAGGUUGUGUGCGAGACCAGACGACGAACGAAGCAGAUAUCUAAUUCUUGUACCGUUAUACCAUCCUUAAUCACUUAUUAACCUUUACUUAUAAACAAUAAACAUAAACCCCCACAUUUUUGGAGGCUCGUCCCGUGGAUUGAAGUAAGAUUUAAAGAAGGCCCCACAUUUUUUGAGGCUCGUACGUGUGUGAAGGAACAUCGUGUGAAGAAUAAGUGAAAAACUAUAAGUAACUGUACGACGACGACGGCCCACGUUCUUUGCAAUAAAGACUUUUGCUGCGCCUAUAAUUGUUCAAAUUUUUUCGUGAGUAAUCUAAAUAGACGAUUUUUUUUUUAUCUCAGCAAAAUGACGUGUUUAAACGAGUUAAUUCCGAAAAGCCUACGAGGAGCAACGAAAUCCAGCAUUUGUGCAUUACACAAAUUUGUGUAUGAGAGAGAAGGAGACAGAUGUAACCGAGGCCGGCUGCGCGAAUUUAGGGAUUCGAAUACGACGAAAACGACGCCAGAUUUUUAGCGAAGCGCACAUACAUACAAGCGGAGCUGACGGACCGUGAUCUUGUUUCAGUAUGUGUGAUAUUGAGUAUAAAUCACAAUGCAGAAAAUAUGAUGCUACACAUAUUUCGCAAUCUGAUGAAAGGCAAGCUGUUGACAAGCAACAACAACGACGACGAAAACGACGAAGACGACGACAAUGAUGAAGAGAAUGAUGAAGACGCAAACGAUGAAGACGAAAACGAAGAUCAAGAGAACGACGUGUUUCGCAGUGUUUGCGAGAUACGCACGUGUGAGGGAGACAACUAUAGAAACAUGCACACAAGACGACAAGAAAAUAGACGCCGAAGCAACGUACAAAGGGAAAACUACGAUGAGCAGGUCGCACCCCGAUUUGCUAUAAGUUUUCGCGAUAUUGAGGAGUCUAUCCGAAUGUUUGACGGCUCUGACCAGAUAGCUGUCGAAGAAUGGAUAGCAGAGUUUGAAGAGCAGGCUGAGUUCAUGCGUUGGACUAAUUUACAGAAACUUAUUUUUGCGAAGAAGUCUUUGAAAGGCAUUGCCAAAUUAUUUGUUUUAAGCGAAAAACAUUUGAACUCAUGGGAAACAUUGAAGUUUGCGCUGUUGAAUGAGUUUCAGUCGAAGGUAAAUAGCAAACAGAUACACAUGCAACUCAACGAGAGUAAACGACGACCGAAAGAGAAUGUNGAUUCGAAUACGACGAAAACGACGCCAGAUUUUUAGCGAAGCGCACAUACAUACAAGCGGAGCUGACGGACCGUGAUCUUGUUUCAGUAUGUGUGAUAUUGAGUAUAAAUCACAAUGCAGAAAAUAUGAUGCUACACAUAUUUCGCAAUCUGAUGAAAGGCAAGCUGUUGACAAGCAACAACAACGACGACGAAAACGACGAAGACGACGACAAUGAUGAAGAGAAUGAUGAAGACGCAAACGAUGAAGACGAAAACGAAGAUCAAGAGAACGACGUGUUUCGCAGUGUUUGCGAGAUACGCACGUGUGAGGGAGACAACUAUAGAAACAUGCACACAAGACGACAAGAAAAUAGACGCCGAAGCAACGUACAAAGGGAAAACUACGAUGAGCAGGUCGCACCCCGAUUUGCUAUAAGUUUUCGCGAUAUUGAGGAGUCUAUCCGAAUGUUUGACGGCUCUGACCAGAUAGCUGUCGAAGAAUGGAUAGCAGAGUUUGAAGAGCAGGCUGAGUUCAUGCGUUGGACUAAUUUACAGAAACUUAUUUUUGCGAAGAAGUCUUUGAAAGGCAUUGCCAAAUUAUUUGUUUUAAGCGAAAAACAUUUGAACUCAUGGGAAACAUUGAAGUUUGCGCUGUUGAAUGAGUUUCAGUCGAAGGUAAAUAGCAAACAGAUACACAUGCAACUCAACGAGAGUAAACGACGACCGAAAGAGAAUGUUCUGGAAUAUUUUUAUCGCAUGAGAGAUAUUGCUGCAAGAGGAAAUGUCGAAGACGACGCACUUAUACAAUACGUGAUUGACGGUGUCGACGAGAUGGCAUUAAAUAAAUCUAUUUUAUAUGGUGCGAAAAAGAUGUCUGAUUUUAAGGACAAAUUAAAAGAUAAUGAGAAAAUAAACGAGAAAAUAAAAAAGAGUGAGAAGACGGGAAGAGAUAAGAAGAUGUCGGUUGGACAAAAUUAUACCCAGACUGGCAAAAAAGACGUCGUGUCUUACAACUGCGGAGAGAAGGGUCAUGUGUCUAGCAGUUGCUCGAGCAAAGAGAAGGGAAAAAAGUGCUUCAAGUGCAAUCAGUUUGGGCACAUUUCAAAGAAUUGCAAGGAGAAAAGUGAGAAGGCAAACGAAGAAAAACAAAACUUGCGUGUAAUUUUGAAUAGAGCGGAAUUGACAUCCAAAGAAGUUUCGAUUAAAAAUAUGAAAUGUAUGGCACUAUUUGACACUGGCAGUAAAUUCAAUAUUUUGCGCGAAGACUUUUACGACGAACUGUGUAUGCCAAAAUUAAAGAACUGCAGAGUGCGCUUGGUCGGUUUCGGAAGUGAAAGCAAGGCUGACAAUAUCAAGCCGACUGGUCAAGUAGAACCUAGUAUACGUAUUGACGACGAAGAAUAUGUUUUGACAUUUUAUGUUGUUGCUGCUAAGUUCAUGAAUAUUAAGUUGAUAAUCGGGGAAGAGCUUUGUUUGCACGCAGAAGUAUCAUUUAAUCGCCAUGGAGUAAAAGUUAAUAAAAUGCCAAAUGAAAAUAACGAAGGUGCGUAUGACGAAUCGUCCAUAAUGAAAAUCGACGUAGCGGUGGACAAUUCUGAACUGAACAUAAACGAAGCGAUAAACGAGAUUACACGAAAAGAAGUUCGCGAGAUAGUAACGACGUAUAAACCGGAAAAAUCAAAAACAACAAACAUUGAAAUGAAAAUAAUUCUUAAAGACGAAACGCCAAUUUUCUCGCGGCCGCGGCGGUUUGCUAUGACUGAAACACGUAUCAUAGAAGACCAGGUUGAUGAAUGGCUGCAGAAUGAGGUAAUUGAAGAAUCAGAAUCCGAGUUCACGAGUCCGGUUGUACUAGUAAAAAAGAAUGACGGCAAGCAACGUCUAUGUAUUGACUUCAGACGCAUCAAUAAAGUCAUCGAAAAAGAUCAUUUCCCAUUGCCGUUGAUAGAUGACCAGCUAGAUCGUUUGCAGGACGCUGUAGUAUUCAGUACGAUUGACUUGAAAAAUGGGGUUUUCCAUGUUCCUGUGGCCGAAGAGAGUAGGAAGUACACCUCAUUUGUGACGCAAAGCGGACAAUACCAGUUUCGCAAGGUCCCAUUUGGUUUGUCGAAUUCCCCAGGAGUAUUCCAAAGACAUAUUGGCGCAAUAUUUCGAUCACUGACUAGAAAAGGUAUAGCACUACCAUAUGUUGACGACGUAAUUAUCCCAGCCAAAGACGAGCUAGAAGCCCUAGCAAACCUGAAAGAAGUUCUCAAGACGUGCGAAGAAUAUGGGCUAGAGCUGAAUUUUAAAAAGUGUCAUUUUUUACAAACACGAAUCCAGUUUCUUGGCCAUAUUAUCGAGAACAAGAAACUAUAUCCGACACCAUUGAAGAUUGAAGCCGUUUCGAAGUUCAAGACGCCGCAGACCCUGAAACAGCUUCAGAGUUUUUUGGGUCUUGCAGGAUACUUUAGAAAGUUUAUCUACAAUUACGCGGUGAUAGCCAAACCAUUGACUGACCUAACGAAGAACAAUGCUAAGUUUGUAAUUGGCCCAGACGNAAAAAGAAUGACGGCAAGCAACGUCUAUGUAUUGACUUCAGACGCAUCAAUAAAGUCAUCGAAAAAGAUCAUUUCCCAUUGCCGUUGAUAGAUGACCAGCUAGAUCGUUUGCAGGACGCUGUAGUAUUCAGUACGAUUGACUUGAAAAAUGGGUUUUUCCAUGUUCCUGUGGCCGAAGAGAGUAGGAAGUACACCUCAUUUGUGACGCAAAGCGGACAAUACCAGUUUCGCAAGGUCCCAUUUGGUUUGUCGAAUUCCCCAGGAGUAUUCCAAAGACAUAUUGGCGCAAUAUUUCGAUCACUGACUAGAAAAGGUAUAGCACUACCAUAUGUUGACGACGUAAUUAUCCCAGCCAAAGACGAGCUAGAAGCCCUAGCAAACCUGAAAGAAGUUCUCAAGACGUGCGAAGAAUAUGGGCUAGAGCUGAAUUUUAAAAAGUGUCAUUUUUUACAAACACGAAUCCAGUUUCUUGGCCAUAUUAUCGAGAACAAGAAACUAUAUCCGACACCAUUGAAGAUUGAAGCCGUUUCGAAUUUCAAGACGCCGCAGACCCUGAAACAGCUUCAGAGUUGUUUGGGUCUUGCAGGAUACUUUAGAAAGUUUAUCUACAAUUACGCGGUGAUAGCCAAACCAUUGACUGACCUAACGAAGAACAAUGCUAAGUUUGUAAUUGGCCCAGACGAAGAGAACGCUAUUGGAGUGUUGAAGAAAUGUUUGACAUCAAUCCCAGUGCUUGCCAUUUACAAUCAGCAGUACGAGACAGAUACGGAUGCAUCUAUAGAUGGAUUUGGAGCCGUGCUUAUGCAAAAAUCACCAGACGAUGGGCACUUACAUCCAGUGUAUUACAUGAGUAAGAAGACGACAGAUGCACAACGAAAAUACACGAGCAUUGACGAAGUUUCGAGUUUAUCUUUUGGGUAUUCCAUUUAAGAUUAUAACGGACUGCAACGCGUUCACCAAAACACUAUAGAAGCAGAAUCUGUGUACAAGGGUGGCAAGAUGGAUAAUGCUUUUGCAGGAGUACAACUACGAAGUCGAGCAUCGCGCAGGAUCCCGAAUGCGCCAUGUAGACGCACUUUCACGAUAUCCCUUUAUGUCCAUAAACGACGGAAGCAUUUUAGUUGGCAUAGAACAGGCGCAAAAACGAGACGAACACUUGAAGACGAUCAUGAAACUUAUCAACGACGACAGCCAACCAUACGAAGACUACUUUAUAAAGUCAGGAAUCCUCUAUAAAUUAGUCAAAGAUGUGGAACUGAUGGUGAUUCCAAAGGAU